GCCGGGUGCCGUGGUGCAAGUCUGUAAUCCCAGCAACUCAGGAGGCUGAGACAGGAGCAUCUUGAGUUUAAAACCAGCCUCAGCAAAAGUGAGGUGCUAAACAAUUCAGUGAGACCCUGUCUCUA
RNAcentral lists this small RNA (125 nucleotides) under Marmota monax (woodchuck). The record is from RNAcentral. Lineage: Eukaryota; Metazoa; Chordata; Mammalia; Rodentia; Sciuridae.